Long non-coding RNA from Perca flavescens (yellow perch), 515 nucleotides. RefSeq lists it as uncharacterized. Lineage: Eukaryota; Metazoa; Chordata; Actinopteri; Perciformes; Percidae. The record is from RefSeq and is a predicted model, not a curated record. The transcript has 5 exons.
CUGCUGAACUUAACCGGCUGUUUGUUUUUAUCUGCGUCAGUGUGUUCUAACAGCGACAGGUUGAGGUGUUGAUCUGAAGACUAACCGAUUUUCUAAAGUCAAGAAGAUGGAAGUAUGUUUGGAUGAAUGGCUUGAACACUUCCACUCCAAUGGAAAUCAGCCGUACUUUGGCCGUAGACCUUCACAAACACGGAUCAAGUGUACUUCAAGCAAUCAGAAGAACCAGAUCAACCUGAAGGUGAUUCUACCUGAAGGUAGGCCGAUGAAAAGGCCCUCCAAGGAAUGUCCUCCAGACUUCUGAACCCAACCUUUAUCAAACAAGAUUCCCUGAAGUCAAGAAGAAGAGUAAAUCUCAGAGAGGAUCAGCGUCUUCAAAUGUCAGUUUAAUUCAACAUUGAACAUGAAGUGAGACAAAUUGAAACAGUGUUUAACAGACAUGAGGAGGACAUCUUCAAGGCCAAACACUAACAUGUUGUUAUGGAUUCAUUAAAAGUAACCUAAUUGGCUGAGCUUUG